UACGUAGGGGGCGAACGUUGUCCGGAAUUAUUGGGCGUAAAGCGCGUGUAGGCGGUCUUGUAAGUCAAAUGUAAAAUCCCCGGGCUUAACCCGGGUUCGCACUUGAUACUGUGAGACUUGAGAAAUGUAGAGGGAAGCGGAACUACCGGUGUAGCGGUGAAAUGCGUAGAUAUCGGUAGGAACACCAGUGGCGAAGGCGGCUUUCUGGACAUUUUCUGACGCUGAGACGCGAGAGCAAGGGGAGC
RNAcentral lists this ribosomal RNA (245 nucleotides) under uncultured bacterium. RNAcentral describes it as "partial 16S ribosomal RNA". It matches the Rfam family "Bacterial small subunit ribosomal RNA", at positions 524 to 769 of the family's 1533-position model. The record is from RNAcentral.